CCCUUAGAUGUUCUGGGCUGCACGCGCGCUACAAUGGCGUUUUCAAAAAGAUUGCUAAUCCGAAAGGACCAGCGGAUCUUCGAAGUGGCGUCGUGAUCGGGACAGUUGAUUGCAAUUAUUCGACUCGAACGAGGAAUUCCUUGUAACCGUGCGUCAUCAGCGCACGCUGAAUACGUCCCUGUUCUUUGUACACACCGCCCGUCGCUCCUACCGAUCGAGCGAUCCAAUGAAUGUUUCGGAGCGGAACUGAGAUGCUAAUGCGUCUCUUUUACGCGAAUUUGUGUGAAUUUGAUCGCUUAGAGGAAGGAGAAGUCGUAACA
This 320-nucleotide ribosomal RNA is filed under the name uncultured eukaryote. RNAcentral's name for it is "partial 18S ribosomal RNA". It matches the Rfam family "Eukaryotic small subunit ribosomal RNA", at positions 1470 to 1796 of the family's 1831-position model. The record is from RNAcentral.